UACGUAGGUCCCGAGCGUUGUCCGGAUUUAUUGGGCGUAAAGCGAGCGCAGGUGGUUUAUUAAGUCUGGUGUAAAAGGCAGUGGCUCAACCAUUGUAUGCAUUGGAAACUGGUAAACUUGAGUGCAGGAGAGGAGAGUGGAAUUCCAUGUGUAGCGGUGAAAUGCGUAGAUAUAUGGAGGAACACCGGUGGCGAAAGCGGCUCUCUGGCCUGUAACUGACACUGAGGCUCGAAGGCGUGGGGAGCAAACAGG
RNAcentral lists this ribosomal RNA (252 nucleotides) under uncultured bacterium. Its description in RNAcentral is "partial 16S ribosomal RNA". It matches the Rfam family "Bacterial small subunit ribosomal RNA", at positions 524 to 776 of the family's 1533-position model. The record is from RNAcentral.